This 600-nucleotide ribosomal RNA is filed under the name Bacillus thuringiensis. RNAcentral describes it as "bacterial SSU rRNA". It matches the Rfam family "Bacterial small subunit ribosomal RNA", at positions 128 to 710 of the family's 1533-position model. Lineage: Bacteria; Bacillati; Bacillota; Bacilli; Caryophanales; Bacillaceae. The record is from RNAcentral.
GCCCAUAAGACUGGGAUAACUCCGGGAAACCGGGGCUAAUACCGGAUAACAUUUUGAACUGCAUGGUUCGAAAUUGAAAGGCGGCUUCGGCUGUCAUUUAUGGAUGGACCCGCGUCGCAUUAGCUAGUUGGUGAGGUAACGGCUCACCAAGGCAACGAUGCGUAGCCGACCUGAGAGGGUGAUCGGCCACACUGGGACUGAGACACGGCCCAGACUCCUACGGGAGGCAGCAGUAGGGAAUCUUCCGCAAUGGACGAAAGUCUGACGGAGCAACGCCGCGUGAGUGAUGAAGGCUUUCGGGUCGUAAAACUCUGUUGUUAGGGAAGAACAAGUGCUAGUUGAAUAAGCUGGCACCUUGACGGUACCUAACCAGAAAGCCAUGGCUAACUACGUGCCAGCAGCCGCGGUAAUACGUAGGUGGCAAGCGUUAUCCGGAAUUAUUGGGCGUAAAGCGCGCGCAGGUGGUUUCUUAAGUCUGAUGUGAAAGCCCACGGCUCAACCGUGGAGGGUCAUUGGAAACUGGGAGACUUGAGUGCAGAAAGAGGGAAAGUGGGAAUUCCAUGUGUAGCGGUGAAAUGCGUAGAGAUAUGGAGGAACACC